UAGCUAGCCAGCAUCAAU
Molecule: unclassified non-coding RNA, 18 nt
Filed under: Mus musculus (house mouse)
Lineage: Eukaryota; Metazoa; Chordata; Mammalia; Rodentia; Muridae
Description: oocyte_clustered_small_RNA5947
Source: RNAcentral